RNAcentral lists this long non-coding RNA (1296 nucleotides) under Cervus hanglu yarkandensis (Yarkand deer). RNAcentral's name for it is "lncRNA (ENSCHYG00000002258.1)". The record is from RNAcentral. Lineage: Eukaryota; Metazoa; Chordata; Mammalia; Artiodactyla; Cervidae.
CCUGUGACAGUGGGGAGCACAGGACUCUUAAUCCACAUGGUGAGAUCUCCCCUGUGUGUGUGGUUGCAGCAGAGGAAGAGGGAGUAUGUUUAUUCUAACCAUUAAGCAGCCUGUUUUCAGCUUUGAAGCUUGAUCUCUAAAGGUGCAAGUUGUCUGAGUAAGAACCCUAUAAGAAGAGGAGGAAGAGGAAAGUAAAGGAUGGCUGUUUCUCAGGUGAAGUCAUGUUCUCAGUUGAUUCUUCAGUCUGUCUUUCUUGAAAUGCCUCUCUUUGGAUUUCUUUCUGAUUCUGAGGUGUUCUUUCUUGACACCUGUAUGUUCAUCCUUACCUAGUGCCUCCCCUCAGUACAUAUUUAUUAAUUGUUGCAUCUUCUUGGGGAAUUGAUCCUUUUAUGAUUAUGUAAUGUCUUUUGUCUCUUGUGUCAGUUUUUCUAUUUAUUUUGUCUGAUACUGCAUAGUUACUCCUGCUCUCUAUAAGAUAGAAUAUCUUUUUCCUUCUUUUCACUUUUUGCCUUUCUUGUCUUUAGAUUACUGUGUUGCUCUAGCUGUCUGUUUUCUUCCGGUCACUUCCUCUCAUGAUCUCUGCUCAGGCACCCUGUACAGUGGUGAAAGGCAGGAGCCCUGGCCAACUGCCUUCACUUCACUGGAACUUCAAAGGAAUGCAUUCGGAGUUUCCUUUUAAUCAUGACACUGUCACGGUUGACAUUGAAUGAUGUGGCCAUCCAAUUCUCUCCAGAAGAGUGGGAAUGCCUGGACCCUGCUCAGAGGGCCUUAUACGUGGAUGUGAUGUCAGAGACCUUCAGGAACCUGCUCUCUGUGGGUGAGGAUAACUUCCCUCUAAAAGUUGGGAAGGUGUCUGGAUUUACCCUUAUUUGCCUUUUGUAAUCCCCUGCCUUGCUUAACUGAGCUCAAAGCCGUGUUGACUCAGGCAUGAAAAGCUUCAUGAUGUAGCCUCAGGAAUUUAAACAUGCCCUUUUUUAGAUGGUCUGGCCUGGCCAUUUCAUAAUGCACCAGAAGUGUAGUGGAGAAUCCUAUUUAUUGUUCCUCAAAAAUUUAACAUAGUUGAGAAGUUUCAUAACUGUGUUUGAAGUAUUACUUUUAUUUAAUAUCUUAUAUUCAACCUGAAACUUAUAUUCAUGCAGUGUAAUGAAUAGGAUAUCUAUGACUCUUUAUAUCUUGUAGAUAUUUCUCAUAUACACAUCUGGAAAUUACAACUAAAAUCACACACUGAUAGAGGAGGAGUAUGCCAAACAGUGAUUUGGGGAAGAAAUGAAAUCCCGGAAAUCAAACAUUUUAAUC